Molecule: signal recognition particle RNA, 315 nt
Filed under: Strongyloides ratti
Lineage: Eukaryota; Metazoa; Nematoda; Chromadorea; Rhabditida; Strongyloididae
Description: Metazoan signal recognition particle RNA
Rfam family: Metazoan signal recognition particle RNA
About the family: The signal recognition particle (SRP) is a universally conserved ribonucleoprotein. It is involved in the co-translational targeting of proteins to membranes.
Source: Rfam by way of RNAcentral
GCCGGGAGUUGUGGCGGGCUCUUGUAAACCAGUUUCCAGGUGGCUUAGGAUGGGGAGGAUCUGCCUGUUGGAAGAACACCUGUCUGCUUUACGUCGUUGACCGAGUGUCCGUGUCAAGCGUAGCGUCGAUAGGCCAUCAGUUGGGGAACCUCCUGAUGACCGGUCGUAGUCAGUCCUCUGACUUAUAAAGAGAGAUGGAUGGCUCAGGCCCGUGAGGGAGCAGGCAAAAGUCUCCGCGCUAUGACAGUGACCGGAUGGCAUACGCGAGGCGUUGAGUUUCAGGUGCCAGUAGUAUAUGUUCCCACCUAUUCUUUU